RNAcentral lists this ribosomal RNA (732 nucleotides) under uncultured archaeon. Its description in RNAcentral is "bacterial SSU rRNA". It matches the Rfam family "Archaeal small subunit ribosomal RNA", at positions 129 to 844 of the family's 1478-position model. The record is from RNAcentral.
ACCCCGGGAAACUGGGGCUAAUCCCCGAUAGGCGAGGGGGCCUGGAAGGGUCCCUCGCCGAAAGGGACCUCAGGGGGUUAUCGCCUGGGGUCCGCCCGAGGAUGGGGCCACGGCCCAUCAUGGUAGUUGGCGGGGUAAUGGCCCGCCAAGCCGACGACGGGUAGGGGCCGUGGGAGCGGGAGCCCCCAGAUGGGCCCUGAGACAAGGGCCCAGGCCCUACGGGGCGCACCAGGCGCGAAACCUCCGCAAUGCGGGAAACCGUGACGGGGUCACCCCGAGUGCCCCCGUAAGGGGGCUUUUCCCCGCUGCAAGGAGGCGGGGGAAUAAGCGGGGGGCAAGUCUGGUGUCAGCCGCCGCGGUAAUACCAGCCCCGCGAGUGGUCGGGACUCUUGCUGGGCCUAAAGCGCCCGUAGCCGGCCCGGUAAGUCCCUCCUUAAAGCCCCGGGCUCAACCCGGGGAGCGGGGGGAUACUGCCGGGCUAGGGGGCGGGAGAGGCCGGGGGUACCCCAGGGGUAGGGGCGAAAUCCGAUAAUCCCUGGGGGACCACCAGUGGCGAAGGCGCCCGGCUGGAACGCGCCCGACGGUGAGGGGCGAAAGCCGGGGGAGCGAACCGGAUUAGAUACCCGGGUAGUCCCGGCUGUAAACUAUGCGGGCCAGGUGUCGGGCGGGCGUUAGAGCCCGCCCGGUGCCGCAGGGAAGCCGUUAAGCCCGCCGCCUGGGGAGUACGGCCGC